This 1317-nucleotide long non-coding RNA is filed under the name Homo sapiens (human). RNAcentral's name for it is "long non-coding RNA NONHSAT118011.2". The record is from RNAcentral. Lineage: Eukaryota; Metazoa; Chordata; Mammalia; Primates; Hominidae.
AGCCUUUUGUGCGCCGCGCGGUGGGGCGGUGCCCAGCUUGGGGGAAGGAGAGCGGCGCUUAUCGAAGUGUGGUCGACCUCCAUCCGCCCACCGAGCACUUGGGACCCGCUGCACAUAUCCAGAGCAGGGAAAGCUGUGGCUUUCUCGGGGGAGCGAGUGUCUAGGGGAAGGGUGUGGCAGGCCCACGGGAUGCCAUGCCCUAGAACAACGGCCUGAGCGCUUGUGGAAUUAAAAUGGGAGAUGUGGGGCCGAGAAGAGGAGGAGGAUUUCGGUGAGGAGGCCGAAGAGGAGGCCUAAGGCAGAGCCCCCAUCACCUCAGGCUUCUCAGUUCCCUUAGCCGUCUUACUCAACUGCCCCUUUCCUCUCCCUCAGAAUUUGUGUUUGCUGCCUCUAUCUUGUUUUUUGUUUUUUCUUCUGGGGGGGGGUCUAGAACAGUGCCUGGCACAUAGUAGGCGCUCAAUAAAUACUUGUUUGUUGAAUGUCUCCUCUCUCUUUCCACUCUGGGAAACCUAGGUUUCUGCCAUUCUGGGUGACCCUGUAUUUCUUUCUGGUGCCCAUUCCAUUUGUCCAGUUAAUACUUCCUCUUAAAAAUCUCCAAGAAGCUGGGUCUCCAGAUCCCAUUUAGAACCAACCAGGUGCUGAAAACACAUGUAGAUAAUGGCCAUCAUCCUAAGCCCAAAGUAGAAAAUGGUAGAAGGUAGUGGGUAGAAGUCACUAUAUAAGGAAGGGGAUGGGAUUUUCCAUUCUAAAAGUUUUGGAGAGGGAAAUCCAGGCUAUUAAAGUCACUAAAUUUCUAAGUAUGUCCAUUUCCCAUCUCAGCUUCAAGGGAGGUGUCAGCAGUAUUAUCUCCACUUUCAAUCUCCCUCCAAGCUCUACUCUGGAGGAGUCUGUCCCACUCUGUCAAGUGGAAUCCUUCCCUUUCCAACUCUACCUCCCUCACUCAGCUCCUUUCCCCUGAUCAGAGAAAGGGAUCAAGGGGGUUGGGAGGGGGGAAAGAGACCAGCCUUGGUCCCUAAGCCUCCAGAAACGUCUUCUUAAUCCCCACCUUUUCUUACUCCCAAAAAAGAAUGAACACCCCUGACUCUGGAGUGGUGUAUACUGCCACAUCAGUGUUUGAGUCAGUCCCCAGAGGAGAGGGGAACCCUCCUCCAUCUUUUUUGCAACAUCUCAUUUCUUCCUUUUGCUGUUGCUUCCCCCCUCACACACUUGGUUUUGUUCUAUCCUACAUUUGAGAUUUCUAUUUUAUGUUGAACUUGCUGCUUUUUUUCAUAUUGAAAAGAUGACAUCGCCCCAAGAGCCAAAAAUAAAUGGGAAUUG